RNAcentral lists this long non-coding RNA (574 nucleotides) under Callithrix jacchus (white-tufted-ear marmoset). RNAcentral's name for it is "lncRNA (ENSCJAG00000086710.1)". The record is from RNAcentral. Lineage: Eukaryota; Metazoa; Chordata; Mammalia; Primates; Cebidae.
CAAACCCACAGCAGCACUGUUUGCCAUUUAAUGUUGCUUUCUUUGUUUGCUCUAAAACGUAGUUCAUCUUGAAAAUGGACUAUAUUUAUUUGUUUAUUCACCAGUUUUUGUUUGCCUAGAUAGAGCGAAUGGAUAUAAACAAACAUUUGCAUGACCUCUUUUUCAGAUUUUUUCUUUCUGCCUAAUUCCCAGCUCUUUCCGGUCUGACUAGAGUCCUGAAUAUAAAGUAUGCUAGUUACUGCAGAGCUCCACAGAUAUGGGAACUUCAUAUUCCUAAUUGAUAAUGAAAUUCCAUAAAACAUAAAUCGUCUCUAGAGUUUAGCAAAAAUGGAGUAUUUAUCAUGUGAAAAGCAGUACUGGGGACUGGCCACUCCAAUAUGUGCACUGUUCACAAGAUGAGUUGCAACCUCCAACUUGACUAGCUUCAGACAACCCCUGCUACGCUUUCUGUACCUGUAAAUCCAUUGUUACCUGUUCUAGAAUUGAAUAUGACUGCGAGGAGUUAAAGACUUCAUUGGAGGAAGUAACUGCAGAAGUGAUGGAAAUAGAAACAGCACAAGAAUUAGAAAUGGAG